Molecule: ribosomal RNA, 497 nt
Filed under: uncultured bacterium
Lineage: Bacteria
Description: partial 16S ribosomal RNA
Rfam family: Bacterial small subunit ribosomal RNA
Source: RNAcentral
GAUGAACGCUGGCGGCGUGCCUAAUACAUGCAAGUCGAGCGAACAGACGAUGAGCUUGCUCCUCUGACGUUAGCGGCUGACGGGUGAGUAACACGUGGAUAACCUACCUAUAAUACUGGGAGAACUUCGGGAAACCGGAGCUAAUACCGGAUAAUAUAUUGAACCGCAUGGUGCAAUAGUGAAAGACGGUUUUGCUGUCACUUAUAGAUGGAUCCGCGCCGCAUUAGCUAGUUGGUAAGGUAACGGCUUACCAAGGCGACGAUGCGUAGCCGACCUGAGAGGGUGAUCGGCCACACUGGAACUGAGACACGGUCCAGACUCCUACGGGAGGCAGCAGUAGGGAAUAUUCGGCAAUGGGCGAAAGCCUGACGGAGCAACGCCGCGUGAGUGAUGAAGGUCUUCGGAUCGUAAAACUCUGUUAUUAGGGAAGAACAAAUGUGUAAGUAAAUAUGCACGUCUUGACGGUACCUAAUCAGAAAGCCACGGCUAACUACGUG